UACGGGGGGAGCAAGCGUUGUUCGGAUUUACUGGGCGUAAAGGGCGCGUAGGCGGCCACCGCAAGUCGACUGUGAAAUCUCCGGGCUUAACCCGGAAAGGUCAGCCGAUACUGCGGGGCUAGAGUGCAGAAGGGGCAACUGGAAUUCUCGGUGUAGCGGUGAAAUGCGUAGAUAUCGAGAGGAACACCUGCGGCGAAGGCGGGUUGCUGGGCUGACACUGACGCUGAUGCGCGAAAGCUAGGGGAGCGAACCGG
This 254-nucleotide ribosomal RNA is filed under the name uncultured bacterium. Its description in RNAcentral is "partial 16S ribosomal RNA". It matches the Rfam family "Bacterial small subunit ribosomal RNA", at positions 524 to 776 of the family's 1533-position model. The record is from RNAcentral.